RNAcentral lists this ribosomal RNA (127 nucleotides) under Ficus obpyramidata. RNAcentral describes it as "partial 18S ribosomal RNA". The stretch from base 1 to 95 matches the Rfam family "Eukaryotic small subunit ribosomal RNA", at positions 1737 to 1831 of the family's 1831-position model. Lineage: Eukaryota; Viridiplantae; Streptophyta; Magnoliopsida; Rosales; Moraceae. The record is from RNAcentral.
CCGUGACGUCGCGAGAAGUCCACUGAACCUUAUCAUUUAGAGGAAGGAGAAGUCGUAACAAGGUUUCCGUAGGUGAACCUGCGGAAGGAUCAUUGUCGAGACCUGCCCAGCAGAAAGACCCGCGAAC